GCCGCGCUGUGCGAGGCCCAGACUGAGGGCGAAACAGCAGGCAGGACUGGGUGGAGACGUUCGGGGACGUGGCAACUGGAGUUUCUUCUCCGUAUAUUUCGGCAUUCAGUUCCUUUUUUUUUUUGUUUUAACUCAGGAAAAAAUCUCAAUUGCGUUUAGUAUUUUGAAAGCCACUUUAUUGCUUCCCGAGCCUCAGUCAUGUGUGGUGGGAGGCUGCUGUGGGUGGCACCUGGGGCGUCCACGGCCGCCAAGGCGGGAGGACGUCAGGCCCUGCUUGCUCCCACCCCUUCCAGGUGAGAGCUCCCGGGCACGCCCGUCGUUGGCUCUUCGUCCUCUUGGUGUUCUUCCCUGUUGCUUCAAAUCAGGUUCCUGUCUCAAAAAUCCGAAAAAGAAAUCCUCCCAAAUGACUCUGUGCCCGACGCUCCGUUAAGGCAUCGUGCUAGGCGUUCUCAAACUCGUGAAAUGACUACACUGCACAGGAAGACCAAACAGAGACAGAGUUCUGGUUAAAUCACACAAGUCCCUGGCAUGAGACCAAGAAGUCACAGAGCCCAGGUCUUAGCCCUCAGAGUGUGAGAGAAGACAUGAAGGCAUCAGGGACACUGUGCGAGUGGGCACUGCUGCUUUCCACUGCUCUCCCUAGACUGCAGCCAGGAGGCUGCCUCUGCCCUGCCAGGCGCACACACCAAGAAAGGCCAUGUGGGCACACAGCAAGAUGGUGCCUGUCUGCAAACUAGGAAAAGAGCCCUCACCAGGAACUGAAACAGCUGGCACCUUGAUGUUGGACUUUCCAGCCUCCACAACUGUGAGAGGUAAGUUUCUGUUGUUUAAACCACCUAGUCUAUGAUAUUUUGUUAUGGCAGCCCAAGCAAACACCAACAUUUGCCAAUUUUGAUUUAUUUUUUACAUAUAUGAUGUAAAAAGUAAUCUUUACAAAGUAUCAUAUGUCUCAUUAUUUCAUGCAGAAAUUGGUGACCAAAUCAAGGGGAAAAAUAAAGAGAUCCCAAAUAAUACAUGCAAAUUAAAUGGUUUCUUUAUAAAAAAAAAAAAAA
This 1052-nucleotide long non-coding RNA is filed under the name Homo sapiens (human). RNAcentral's name for it is "SMC5 divergent transcript (SMC5-DT)". The record is from RNAcentral. Lineage: Eukaryota; Metazoa; Chordata; Mammalia; Primates; Hominidae.